RNAcentral lists this ribosomal RNA (261 nucleotides) under uncultured archaeon. Its description in RNAcentral is "partial 16S ribosomal RNA". It matches the Rfam family "Archaeal small subunit ribosomal RNA", at positions 748 to 1008 of the family's 1478-position model. The record is from RNAcentral.
CAGCCGUAAACUAUGCGCGUUAGGUGUACUGGUGACCACGAGUCACCGGGGUGCCGAAGGGAAACCGUGAAACGUGCCGCCUGGGAAGUACGGUCGCAAGGCUGAAACUUAAAGGAAUUGGCGGGAGAGCACCACAACGGGUGGAGCCUGCGGUUUAAUUGGACUCAACGCCGGAAAUCUCACCGGAUAGGACAGACAUAUGAUAGUCGGGCUGAAGACUCUACUUGAUGAUCUGAGAGGAGGUGCAUGGCGUCAGUGACU